GAUGAACGCUAGCUACAGGCUUAACACAUGCAAGUCGAGGGGAAACGAUAUUGGAAGCUUGCUUCCGAUAGGCGUCGACCGGCGCACGGGUGAGUAACGCGUAUCCAACCUGCCCAUCACUUGGGAAUAACCUUGCGAAAGUAAGACUAAUGCCCAAUGACAUUUAUAGAAGGCAUCGGAAAUGAAUUAAAGAUUUAUCGGUGAUGGAUGGGGAUGCGUCUGAUUAGCUUGUUGGCGGGGUAACGGCCCACCAAGGCGACGAUCAGUAGGGGUUCUGAGAGGAAGGUCCCCCACAUUGGAACUGAGACAUGGUUCAAACUCCUACGGGAGGCAGCAGUGAGGAAUAUUGGUCAAUGGGCGAGAGCCUGAACCAGCCAAGUAGCGUGCAGGAAGACGGCCCUAUGGGGUUGUAAACUGCUUUUAUAGGGGAAUAAAGUGAGCCACGUGUGGCUUUUUGCAUGUACCCUAUGAAUAAGGACCGGCUAAUUCCGUGCCAGCAGCC
Molecule: ribosomal RNA, 502 nt
Filed under: uncultured bacterium
Lineage: Bacteria
Description: bacterial SSU rRNA
Rfam family: Bacterial small subunit ribosomal RNA
Source: RNAcentral